This 781-nucleotide long non-coding RNA is filed under the name Equus caballus (horse). RNAcentral's name for it is "lncRNA (ENSECAG00000056929.1)". The record is from RNAcentral. Lineage: Eukaryota; Metazoa; Chordata; Mammalia; Perissodactyla; Equidae.
AUCAAGGGCUGGGCCUAGAGAUGGGCAGGAACCAGGGAGGGUCUAGAAGCUCAGGAGCAGGCAAUUCAGUUCUACUCACCAUGGCUCCCUGACAACUAUUCCUGGGGUCCUUGUGUUCAAAGUUCCAGAAGAGCUUGUCAGAUUGGUUGAGCUUAGAUCACAUGUGUACUCUUAGGGCUAGGAGAGGAAGAAUCUGCUCUCUUCAAGAGCUUCCAUGGUGGGGAGCGGGCAGCUGGAUUUAUACUCCACUAAGCCUGCAUACAUGGGGAGAACGUAAUUCCCUAAAAAAAUCAGAUGACAUCAGGAAGGGGAAUGGAUGUUGAAUAGCCAAAGAAAUGCCACAUGUUCACUGCAGCCCUGCCUUCAACAGCAUUACCUUCACACUAUGAUGUUAACAAUAAUGGAAGAGAUGAAAGAAAACUGGCAGGAGCCUAUAGGGAAAGUGCCUCGGUGGAAUUCCUGUGACCUACACUAUGGACGGAGCAGACUUCAUUAUUCACAACAGGCUGGAAGUCCAGUUACCAGCAGUGUGUCCACGUCUGAAGCCAGACAGAAACUUGUUCAGCCAGUUUCCUUCUUUCACGAGGCUGUUCCAAAACUGACACAUGCAGACUGAGAAAAACACUGAGAGUUUCUGUGUUCCCAGGAAUGAGUCCCACCAGAACAGGUCUCGGUCUGUUGCUAAACUGUGAUUCUCGUUUCUUCUCCUCACUCUGCCUCUCCCCUCCCCACCGCCACCUCCUUUUGCUACAAAGCUACGGACCAUCAAGUUUUAAUGCCG